CACCUAAAUUAGUGUUAGAUUCCCUUAUUAAAAAAAUGAAAGAAAAAAUGGAAAAUUGCCUAGAAACAUCUCGAAACAUAAUCACAUCUCCGUCCUCCACCUCUCAUCUCUUUGUUUAUUCCACCUUUCGUCCUCCAUCUUCCAUUCAUACAACAAUUUCUUCACCCUUGCAAGUUCUUUCAUACUCUAUUUUUUAGAUUAACUAAAUUCAACAACAUUGCAUCAUUCUUUCAUACUCUUACAGAAUAUAAGGGCUUUGAUUUUCUAUUUUCAAACCCUAAAUUAUUUUUGUUUGCGUUGAUCGGAAGGGGGAAAUUUCAUCGAAUGGGCGCUUCUAAUUUCACGUUUCAUCGAAUUCGCGUUUCCGAUUUCGUGGUCUUAAUAUUGGUCUUGAUCGGGUUUUAUCGAAUUUGCAGGCUUCCAAUUUCUAUUUUCUCAUUUGUGGUUUCAGGAGAAAAUGGAAGGAUUUCCCGCAAAAGCUGACGCGUUUUCUUUAAAUAGAGAUAAGAACACCGUAUGUGUCUUUAGUAUGUGUGAAAAGCUAAUUGUGUUCCUUGAAAAGCUGGUUGCCAAAGUCGAAAGUUGAUGCAUUUUCUUUUAACAAAACAUACAGAAGACUGGCAUGAACCAACCUACAUAUUUUAUAUUCUGUUGAUUCCAUAUCAUAUAUAGGGAGUAGAGAAUGUCUUUUGAUUACCGUAGACACCAUUAGUACACAAAAUAGAGAAUUUCCUUUUAUCAUCGCAGACACCAGUAGAACACUUUAUUUCCUUCUUAUAUAAGUUUUUCUUCCUUUUAUAUGACAAAACUUUGAUAUAGGAUUAUCAUAUUGUAGUUACAAAAGAUUAUUAAGGUUAAGGAGUAAAAAUGUAUUGGCACUAAGGGGGAUUUAGACAGAACGUGACCUCAGUAGACGUGCAAGUUGUAGAAAAUCCAUGCAAAGUAGCUUCAGUUAAAUAAAAGUUGUCUGAAAAGUGUUAAAAGGGAUACCUUAACUGGUCAAGUAGCAGCAAACCUUUAGGAAGAGAUUCUGACCCAAUUUCUAUUUAUACAAGUUUUACUCAUACUUUUUUAGUAUUUUGUAAUUUAUUUUCUACAUUAUAUACAUUUUUUUGCUUGGACAGUUUUUUUGAAGCUCUACAAAAUAACGAUCGGGUGAUAUUCAUCAUAUUACCCUUGUGUUGUUCACUAAAGCCAACGGAAAACACAUUUGUUUUUUUCUAUCUUUGAUACCUGACUUCUUAAGCACACUAAGUUUACAAGAGGCAGAUGUAGUCAGGACUAUCAUAAUAACGAGUUGAUCUUUGAAUCAAGACCAAUGUCCAUUACACUAUAGUUCUUUGCUUUCUCAAUUGGAGUUUUUUUUUUAGAAAAUAAUUUUGAAGUUGCAGGGUCUGAUUCAGCGUGAUUUUAGUAUCCAUUCACUCCUUUUUCUUACAUAGGUGCUGCCAAACCCAGCUAGAAGUCGCUGGAGCAGAAUAUCCACUCCAGAACACACAGUUCUAUAACGUUUAAAGACACCAAAAGGCAGAAUAUCCACUCCAGAACACAAAGUUCAAUUUUAUAGUUGUUGCUACUGCCUUGUUCAUAUUUAUAUCAUAAUCUUUUCUGGUUGUUGAUACUUUUUUUUUUAAUAUAGAAAUAUCUUUUGUUAGACAUGUUUAAUAUAUUUUUUGUAGGAGGUCAAGAUGUCAGAUAAUGAAAGACCAAGGCAAAAGAGGAUAGAAGAUAAUAGAUCGAAAAUGAAGGAAUUGGUCCGGGGGUUGAAUCAAUGGCUUACCAAGUAAGUCAAAUGGUGAAGAGCUGAAAACAAACGAAGAGGAGUAAGAUGCAAUCGCAGAAGGUGGCACAAGAUAGUAACGAGUACAUAUCUGGUGUAGAGGGUGAACUAAAUCACUCAAGUGAAGAGAAUACCGAUGAGAUGAGGACAAGGAGUGUAAACUUGAGGUCUGGCUCUAAGACGGUACAAGGUUCCUUUAUGUAAUAACAUUUAUGAAUUAUAAUUAGUUAACUAUUCAUAUGAAAAGUUUAAUAAUUUUAAGCGUAACUGUGUUUAGGUUUCGGCAAUGAGAGGGAGAAGUCCCACUAAGAUGAAAGAGACUUUAGAAGGAUAAGAUUACUAUUAGACUAUUAGUACUCCCUCCGUCCCUUAAUACUCGCACAGCUUUCCUUUUCGGGCCGUCCCUUAAUACUUGCACUGCUUCUAUAAAUGGAAAUCUUUACCAAUAUUAUAUCAUUUUUCACACUUACCUACUACCCCACCUACACCCCUACUCCCUACAAAAAAAUCAUUUAAAAAUCCACACCUCUCACUCAUCAUUCUCCACCCCUUACACAUUUCCUUCUAACAAUAAUAAAAAAUACCCCACUAUCAACUAACAUCCAUUAAAUUAAUAAGUCAAUUCAAAUGUCUUAAACUCCGCACCGGUUUGACCGGUGCGAGUAUUAAGGGACGGAGGGAGUAGUAUUUACAGUGUUUUCAACUUCUGUACUCUUCUUUGGUUGUCAUGGAUGCAGAGUCGAAAGAAGGCAGGUGAUGCAUCUAAACAAGAAGGAAAAGACUAGUCUAGGGACCGAUGAUAGGUCAUGCAGAUAAGGAAGGGAAGGAGAACAAAAUCACAAGAUAGAUCCGAGGAUAACAAAUCUGAGCUGAAGUCUGAAGAUGACUCUAAACAUUGUAGUUAAUAUUGCACAUUCAUUUUUUUUAGGGAUUAGGAAGUUUUGGUGUUGCCGUUGUUGUUCUGUACUGCUCGAAUUCAGGCAUUGGAGUGGUGUGGGUGUUACUUUGGUAAUACUGGCGGAGUUGGCUAGUGGUUCAUCUCUAUUGUUGGGUUGGUUGUUGUUUUGGGGUGUGUAAGCCAACUGGUGUCUAACCAAACCUGAUGAUUUUGGUGCUCCCUGUUGUGUGAAGAUCGACUAGGGUCUGCUCUAUUUUGAUUGCUGGUUUGAGUUGCAGUUUUUGAGUUCACAUAAGGAGUUUCAUGGGUGUUAUUUCAAUCUGGUGGGAAGCAAUGUAUGUUGUUGGCUUUAAGGGCAUUUUCUGUUGUUGCUUAUCUGUUGAAGUUUUGGUCAUUGUUGACUUGAGGUUACCGUUUUGCUCGGUUUCAUCGUUAGUAGGAUUACAGGUUUUUUUUUUUUUUUUUGAGACAAUGGAUUGCAGGUUUUUGUUUCUUUGUUUUGGAGUUUUUGGAUGUUUUUGUAUAUAACUAUGAAAUUAUAUCAAUUUAAAUUAUUAAAUA
Molecule: long non-coding RNA, 3239 nt
Organism: Spinacia oleracea (spinach)
Lineage: Eukaryota; Viridiplantae; Streptophyta; Magnoliopsida; Caryophyllales; Amaranthaceae
Exons: 3
Source: RefSeq, a predicted model, not a curated record